This 467-nucleotide ribosomal RNA is filed under the name uncultured bacterium. Its description in RNAcentral is "partial 16S ribosomal RNA". It matches the Rfam family "Bacterial small subunit ribosomal RNA", at positions 29 to 507 of the family's 1533-position model. The record is from RNAcentral.
ACGUACGCUGGCGGCGUGCUUAACACAUGCAAGUUGAACGGAAAGGCCCUGCUUUUGUGGGGUGCUCGAGUGGCGAACGGGUGAGUAACACGUGAGUAACCUGCCCUUGACUUUGGGAUAACUUCAGGAAACUGGGGCUAAUACCGGAUAGGAGCUCCUGCUGCAUGGUGGGGGUUGGAAAGUUUCGGCGGUUGGGGAUGGACUCGCGGCUUAUCAGCUUGUUGGUGGGGUAGUGGCUUACCAAGGCUUUGACGGGUAGCCGGCCUGAGAGGGUGACCGGCCACAUUGGGACUGAGAUACGGCCCAGACUCCUACGGGAGGCAGCAGUGGGGAAUAUUGCACAAUGGGCGGAAGCCUGAUGCAGCAACGCCGCGUGCGGGAUGACGGCCUUCGGGUUGUAAACCGCUUUCGCCUGUGACGAAGCGUGAGUGACGGUAAUGGGUAAAGAAGCACCGGCUAACUACGUG